RNA transcript from Brassica napus (rape), 1758 nucleotides. RefSeq lists it as uncharacterized. NCBI's taxonomy places the organism in Eukaryota, Viridiplantae, Streptophyta, Magnoliopsida, Brassicales, Brassicaceae. The transcript has 2 exons. The record is from RefSeq and is a predicted model, not a curated record.
GCAAAGCAGGGAAGCGCAGGAAGCACGGGAAUGAAGUUGCUUUUGAUCGAGUUAAGAGCUUGCUAGCUAUGAAAAAUAUGUAUUCCAAACAAAAGAUUCUUGAUCGUCUCCUCGCCAAAAAUGAGGAGACACUUUCUUCUCAAGAGAAGGAACUUAAGACUAAACUAAUUGGUGAAAUGCUUUGAUUUGGUAAGUGUGUUUAACUUGGCUGAAUUUUUAAGUAAAGCUUGAACUUGAUUCUGCUCUGUUUUCAUUUGCAGGUGAGAGAGUGCAGGUCACGGGUUGGAGUUAACGUGUUGGAGCUCAGUAGUUGUUGCAGUGGAGGUCACUUGUUUUUUUUUUUUUUUGUAUCAUGCUUGUAGUACUAGGUUUCACGUGAGUGUACUAUUUUGUAUCUUUGUACACUCAUUUUAGGUCAAUCGGAUAUGGGUGUAUGUAACCACACGGGUUGUAUUUUGUACUCCUCACGGGUGUUUGUACCCGAACUAGUAGCUUCAUGUCUCCAGUUCUAUAUAAACAAUGUGUUCACUCCAUUAUCAUCACCACUCUAUUUCUAUUUAAACUUUAUUACCAUCAUGUCUAGUGCUCUCUAAUAUUGAUUAUCAUCUUACACUUCUAUUAUUAUCAUCACGGGUGUUUGUACCCGAGCCAUCACCACACUUCUAUUUUCAUAUCUCAACCAUCACAACACUUUGCUUAUUCACUUUUGAGACAUCAACACACUUGCUGAAUUCCCAACCAUCGAGAACCUCUACAAGUCAACCAAAUUUCAAGCUUCAAGCUUCAAGCUUCAAGUCACAAGAGAACGAACGACACGGAUACGCUCAAAUAAAUAUUUCUGAGUUCGAAUCAGGAGAGUCAAGCAGAAGUUCAAAGGUGACAAGCAGAGAAAGUAUUCAAGCUGGUGAUAUGUUAGGCAUGCGCAGAGAAGUUCAAGAUCAAGAGAAGCAUGUUCGUUUGAAAGCUGAUUUAAUGGAAAAUAUUUGGCAAAAGUUUGGUGAUGAAGAUGAAUAAGCUUUGUAUAUUUUUCAAUUUCUCAAUUUAUGUAAUCUACUCUUUUAAUGUAUUGAAUAAAUAGUUUUCACAAAUUUAAUAAUAUUUUUAAUAUUUUAUUAAUGUAUUCUGAAUAAUUUGAAUUUAAAAAAAAAAAUUAAAUAUUAUUAUUUUAGUCUUAUGAACUUUUUCUUCAGGUUCACCAAUGCAAAAAAAGACAAAUACAGGUUCAUAACUAUUCAUAGACCCACAAAAAAAUAUUAAAAAAAUCAUGUGAAUCCCAAGGGGAGGUUCACCAAUGCUCAUGCUCUUAGAACCUUUGUUGGUACAUGGUUUCAGAUUGGGAAAGAAGAUGUAGACACUUGUUUCCCAACAAGUAGCCAACCUACUUCCAAAGUCAAGCUAAAUGACUAUAGCAAAGUGUUGAAUGGGAGCCAACCCACAAUUAGGUAAGUUUCACUUAGUUUUAUUUUCAACUAGGGAUGUCCUGCCCUACGGACGGGAUGAAUAUUUGAAAAUAAUUUAAAUUAUUAGAGUAAAUAUUUAAUGUAAAAUUUUAUUAAUUAAAAAUAUAAAUAUUAGUUAAAUUUUGUACAUGGUUUUUUUUUUUUGAAGAUUAAAUAAAGCUAUGUUGAUAAUUAGUUAUGUUUUUUUUAAUGAGGUGGCACUACAUCAUUUCUUGUUGAGUAUUCAUGUUAUUGUACUCAAAGUUAUUAUCAUAUAAUAACUUAUUUGGUGCAUUUUAUAUUUAUUAUAGUCGAUUAU